This 2246-nucleotide long non-coding RNA is filed under the name Jatropha curcas. Its description in RNAcentral is "long non-coding RNA (JCUR_LNC000830)". Lineage: Eukaryota; Viridiplantae; Streptophyta; Magnoliopsida; Malpighiales; Euphorbiaceae. The record is from RNAcentral.
GUGCCUAAUGCAAGACUCCAUCUUUAUACUCUAUGUUAAUAAUAAUUUGCUGCUUCUGUCCCGAAACUAGACAUGGGCAUUCAUCUUGAUUUUAAUAUCCAACGGCCGACAUUGCAGUAGCAUUGUAUAGAGCUGUUGCUGAAUGUAUCUAAAAAUCGAUGCAAUACAAUAUGUGUCAAAAGUUUACCAUUGUCAUGACAAACGAGUUCCCGUCAAAUGAAAGUCAUUUGUAAAUACAUAUAAUGUUUUGUUAUAGCCUACAAUCAAACGUUAAAUGUAGUGGCAAAAAUUGCAUAUUAAUUUUCAGAAAACAAAAUUUGUUACAAGAGAAAAGAAAAAAAAGAAAAAAAAAAAAGAAAACAACAAGCAGCAUCCAAAUAUGUUAGAAUUUGUUUUGAUCAAGUUCAAUGAAUGGAUUUCAAUCCAACAAUAGCCAUUUCCACAACAAUUAAUAUGACCACAUUCAGUAAAUAGGUUUGACUUAACUUUCUGUCACAUGGGCUUUGAAUUUCUACACAAAUAAUGAGUUUUCAGUAACUUGUCCAGUUGUUUAGAUAUUCAAAACCAGAGAAGAGAGAGUGAAGAUGCUACUGAUUUAAUGGUUUUUCCAAUUUCUAGCGUGUGAAAAGAUAAAAGCAGAGCACCAAAAUAAAUGAGAAACAUAGAUAUGCCUUAAAAUUCUUGAACUUUUUGUAUAACAAGCCAUGGAAAGACAAAUAUCACGCUUACGAAGAUAAACGAUAACAGUUUUGUGGAACCGAGAGAGUGUGCACUUGAAUCAAUGAUGAAAAGAAAUAGGACACCGAAAAGCUCUUAGCCAGACUUGAUCACGAGGAUAGGCGUCGUGUCCAGAUGUCAUCACAAAUUAAUCAUCUCUAUUCCGAGAAAACAUAGCCGAAUAACCCAAGACAUUAUAAGGAAUUUGUUUAUGGCAUGACAUUUCCAAAUAUCAUUUCAGUUGUCGUCGUUGCUUUUUCUGAGUUCCAAUCAACUGGUGGAAGAUGGGCCCAGAAUGGCAUGUUCUAGAGUGGUGAUUUCGCACCUGAAGAGGUACUUCUGGCGGUCUCCAUCUUCUAGCAAUGAUAAUGUGAUUAAACCAGAUGCAGAACAACAAAUUUGGCUGAUAACACCUUAAAAACAGAUGCUAUGUUUGAUAAACUCGUAUAAAUGAAUUAUUAAAGAAAAGAAAGGAAGGUAAGCAAGGUUUGGAAAUAGUUUUCAACCUAAAAAAGACACCUCAGUUAGAACCUUAUUAGCUGCAAACAUUGCCAGAAAUCUCUCAGGUGGCAGUUAUUGGUUCAACACCCAACUCUAUAUAUAUAUAUAUAUAUAUAUAUAUAUAUAUAUAUAUAUAUAGAAAGAAAGCAAGCAAGCUGCCCAUAAAUAUUUAGGAUAACAAUAUUGCCACAAAUUGUAUUAAUUUAGGCACUUCGCUAUUUCAUCCCUACUCGUGUUAAGUCCUACUACACAAAUGAAAGGAAGUGGAUGGAAAGACGGCACCAGAAUACCCUGGAUGAUUUUCCUAAUUCAGCAGCUAUUUUAAUGUGGCUCUGUUCUGGAUGACACAUUGAUCCUACCUAAACGUUAAGUGCAGGGCCACAUCCUUUUCUGAGUUGCUCCAGCCAGGUGAAAACAAGGUUUCAAAGUGAAUAAGCAGCAAGGUCACCUUUCUAUGACCCUGAUUUCUGACAGUCUGGCCUACUCCAAUCUAAUAAAAUAGUCAGGUAUGUACGCAAAAUAGGAAAAUGAAAGAGCAAUAUAGGGCUUGCCAAAGCCCAAGCUGAAUUUGUUUGUUUAUAUUGGAUUAGAAACAAAAAUGGACUGUAAAUUAGCUUAUAGCAUUGUGAUACUACAAGAUAUGGACUUCAACACACCCAGAACAUGUCAAGUGAAACUUAAAACCACAAAUUAUUAAAUUAAUGGAUCCACAUGAUACCAGGUUUAGAUAUAAAUUAAUGCUAAAAAAAUUUGCAGUUUCAACAACUUAUGAGCAUCUUAACUGAAAUUUUGAGAAAAGAGGAAAAAGAAGUAAGAUGAUAAAAGAAUUGACAAGAAAAAAUAAUAACUGUUAGGACAAAGAAACAGAAAGGACAUAUUUAUUGUUUCCAUUUAUAAAAUCUGCAGAAUGUAUGAACUAUUUUUUAUCAUACAUUAGUGAAUGUCAAGUACCAUAGAAUCCUGAUGCUUGAGCCUAUCUUGUGUACCUCUUCUCUGUAUGCAACUCAACUCACCUAAGCCCUUAAUUU